UGUUUUAUGAAUUUACAUAUAAAAUAAUCUCCUGCCCAGUGAUAUAUUUCAACGGCCGCGGUAUCCUAACCGUGCAAAGGUAGCAUAAUAACUUACCCAUUAAUUGUGGGCUAGAAUGAAAGGGGUAACGAAAUUGAUUCUGUAUCAUAAAAUCUACCAUAAAUUAUUAUUUAAGUGAAGAAACUUGAAUAAAGUUAAAGGACAAGAAGACCCUAUAGAGCUUUAUUUAUUUAAUAUAUCAUAUAUUAUUUAAUUAGGUUGGGGCGACCCUGGAUAAAUCAUCCAUAAUUAGUAAGAUAAACAAAUCAAAUAAAAGAUCCUUAACAAGACAUUGAAUCAAGCUACCUUAGGGAUAACAGGCUAAUUUUACUCACGAGUUCAUAUCACAAGUAAAGAUUGGCACCUCGAUGUUGGCUUAGAAAAUCUAUGUGGCGCAAAAGUCGCAAAUAGAUGGUUUGUUCAACCAUUAAAUUUC
This 475-nucleotide ribosomal RNA is filed under the name Marionina filiformis. RNAcentral's name for it is "partial 16S ribosomal RNA". It matches the Rfam family "Bacterial large subunit ribosomal RNA", at positions 1816 to 2596 of the family's 2925-position model. Lineage: Eukaryota; Metazoa; Annelida; Clitellata; Enchytraeida; Enchytraeidae. The record is from RNAcentral.